UGAAGGGGUGUCUUCCAGCACGUGCUCCCUCUGCUUUGAAGCAAUGAUCCCACAAAUUCUUCAGGGUAGCCAUCUCUGCCUGUAGCAUGCAUUUAGCCCCUGAAGGGCCUGUGAGUGCCCUGGAAACAGGCCUCCCUCCACCUGGGCACAUGCAGCACAGCUCCAGAGUGCAGGCUUUGUGCCCGCAGGAGGCUGGACCUGGUCCCACCCACCUGGGGAUCCCACACCCUGUGCUGUGAGCAGGUCAGCAUAUUGGGCCCUUGUGCUUGAUGUGGUCCAUUUGGACUGGGUCACCUCAGAUAAGCUGGGAGGACUCUUCCUGGAAUCCCCUUGGCUGCAUCUUUCCAAGAAAGCAGGGCCCAAAGAGGCGUGUGUGCGGUGUUUGGAGAGUGGCAGUGGCGCGGUUGCUGUGUCUGCGGUACAGCAGACCUGCUGCUCACCAUGCUCCUGUGUCGGCAGCAGGCGUCCCAGUCCCUCUUCCCUGACACGCUCCUCUGCAGCUUUUCCUGCUGCUUAGCUAGGUGCAUGCUUGGGGGAAAGGAGGCCAGCGUCCCCUUCGGAUCCCACUGCUCAGCUAGGUGCAUGCGUGGGGGAAAGGAGGCCAACAUCCCCUUCAGAUCACAUAUCCCAUGUGGUCAGGGGCCAGGAGGCAUGAAAGACCACGAAGGCCCCAGUCCACUGCUGCAGGUUCUCCCGUCCCUGCGGCCCCACCUUGUCCUUGCUCUCCCACCUCUGGCUGUCUUUCCUGUGACCUCAGGCGCAUGAGGAGCCACAGCUUCAUACACAGCAUAAGCAGUGCUCACAACUGCAUAAGGUCGCAGCCCUAGAAUAAAUCCGUCAUCAUACAUAUGUCCCAGUGCAUCUGACUCUGAUGGACGGGCCCCUGCUCGCCUCCCCAGCACGACGUCCACAGGAAAGAUGCGCUGCCUGUUCGUCUCUCCACUUUUCCUGUUGCUGCUCGUGCAGAAAACCAGCGUGGCACCCAUCAUAAUGGGUUCUAAUUUGCUGCGACUAAGGCCAGAAACUGACUCAGUGAAAUCUGUUCAAUGAAAGAAUGAGUGGCUGCUCAGCACCGUUGCUCUCAGUGGUCUGCUGGACCCUCCCUGAGUGUGAUGCACUUCUGUCCGUGAGCCUGGGGUACUUCCUUCAAGCAAGGAGCAGGUGAAUGCAGGGAAGUCACCAAGGGACACCUAGAAGUUACGGAUGGAGAAGUAUGGACAAGCCAUCCUACUGUGUCAUGGCUUGUGUGCUGAAGGACAUUGUACACACUUCCUGUCUGCUAAUUAUUCAUCUAUGCCUCCUGACAUGGUUUGGCUCUGUGUCCCCCCCACAUUUCAUGUUGAAUUGUAAUCCCCAGUGUUGAGGAGGGACCUAGUGGGAGGUGAUCAGAUCAUGGGGAUGGAUUUCUUUCUUGCUGUUCUGGUUAUAGCAGGUGAGUUCUCACGAGAUCUGGUUGUUUAAAAGAGUGUGGCACCUCUACUUUUGCUCUCUUUCUCUCUCCUGCCACCAUGUGAAGAAGGUGACUUAUUCCUAUUCAUCCUUCUGCCACGAUUGUAAGUUUCCUGAGGCCUCCCAGCCAUGUUUCCUGUACAGCCUGCUGAACUGUGA
Molecule: long non-coding RNA, 1608 nt
Filed under: Homo sapiens (human)
Lineage: Eukaryota; Metazoa; Chordata; Mammalia; Primates; Hominidae
Description: HSALNT0253280
Source: RNAcentral